Long non-coding RNA from Triticum dicoccoides, 2538 nucleotides. RefSeq lists it as uncharacterized. Lineage: Eukaryota; Viridiplantae; Streptophyta; Magnoliopsida; Poales; Poaceae. The transcript is spliced from 12 exons. The record is from RefSeq and is a predicted model, not a curated record.
CAGAAGAAAGAGAGAGGAAGGAGGUCGCCAGAUACGCCCGCCCCGCUCCAACCCUCUUCUCCUCCUCACGUACGACACCUCCUUUCUCCUCCCUCUCCCCUUCUCUCUCAGACCCACUGGCGGCGGAGACUGGAGGCAGAACACUGCACGCGCCGGCCGGCGAGGAGGAGCUGCGCUGUCGCCGGCGCACCAACUGCGUCUACUGCCUCGCCUCCCCGUUGACCUACAAGAAGGUAUAUUCCCACAUUGAACUGAAUUAUUGCUAUAUUCGGUUGAUUCAGACAUAUUGUAUCUUCAAUGGCUUUCACUGCUGGGCAAAAUCAAGCGAUGGAAGAUCCAUGGUACAUUGUGGUGUUAUCUGCUACUGAUUUACAGGCCUUGUGGUUGUCGUUCCCAUGGCUGUACCGUUCACGUUUAUGCAGGGUUUAAAGUUUGAUGUAGGAUGGGCACACAAGUUUGAUGUUUGCAGUUACAGAUUUUUGUCAAAGCCCGCUGAAACGAAGUUUAGUUCAGCAGACCAUGUAUGUUGGAAGAAAGCAAAUUUCUUGCCUUCUGAAUCCUCCGUAGCCAUAAUAUUUUAUUUCAGACCGAAUUGUCCCAGCUCAGUGUAUCUCAGCGAAGUAGCGGGUUCAUGCAAGGCCUGGCCGACGGCAACGACUUUAGGGGCUGUCGUGCUUUGCAUACUUCAUCUAGCUUUGGUUCAGAGGCAGGUUUUGGGCAUACCGCAGCACAAGCAGAGGCAUAUCUCAGUCGAUGCUACUGCAGUUGAUGAUGCCCUGAAGCUUUCUUCAGUAACUGAUUCAGCGUGCCGCUGUUCUCUAAGGUCGUUGAGUGCUGAGAACAGGCAAUAUAAUUAGGCUUUUAACGAGAAGAUGGAGGAGAUAAAAACUUUCAGGAAGUGUUUAGGCGAGUUCCAUGCCCAAAAUAAUGUUAUGUGAGCAGAGAGUGCAGGCUUGUGCUCUUCUGUUGAAGAGCUUGAGCAUGAGAGAUUGAAUCAACACAUAAGUCAUGAGAGCAUAUAUUUAGACGAGGAGAGGUGACUGGUCAAAGAAAUUAAGACCCUUGAAAAAACCAGACCGAGGGUCAGUUCCAAUGUUGCUAAGCAAGCUAAAAUGGAAGAUAUAGUGGCUGAGAGAGAUGCCAUACAUGAUCAGGUGAAAAUCAUCAUACAUGGAGUAAAGGAGGGAGAAGCAGCCAUGUCUAAGAUUAAGGUCCUGGACGAUGAGGCGAUGGGCGUGGAGAGCUGCUACAAGCUCGCGCAGGCGGCAUACGUCAACCUCGCGCUGCACACACUCAAGCACCUGGCGCCCGUCGUCAAUGGGCUCCUCGUCCAUGAUUAGCUGGACAACAUGAACCUCGAGGAGGUUGUGAAGGGGAACAUCUGUGACGCCGUUCUUUAGGUCUUUGGGAGUUUGCUAGCAGUCCUGGUCAGACUUGGACCAGGGACUAGCGUCCUGGAUGCCUUGGCAUGCUCGGCUCCACCGGUGUUGCAAGCCCAGUUCAUUUCAGGAUCAUCAAGCUUCCCGUGUACAUCUACCACCCAAGUCAUGUGAACGAGCCGAUGAAGAUACUCAACAUUAUUUGCUUCAGCUACUUCCUUCGUAACUACAAGCUGUGUUCGGCAACCCUCUACUCCUUCGCUAGGGAGCGGAGCUCACGGAGCACCCUGUUAGCAGCUCACCAAAAUAUAACUGCAUGCCGCUCCGCUCCGCAGCGGAGUUGCAGAGCAGAGAGAUCCCGAACAGCUCCUUAGUUUCAGUUUAUUGUCAUUUGUUAUGUUACGUUCGGCGGACGAAGAAAUGCCAGCUGGCGUGCCUGGCGACCACUCUACCUAGAUCGGAGCACGACAAGGUCGCUUGUCGCCCAACACCUCCUCCAGUCGAGAUCCGCUGCCACCAACCUCGUGUAGGGAGCUCUUUUUAUCUUCCUUUGUAUCUCUAUGGAGCAGAAGGUUUAAUUUACCAAUGUAUGGCUCUUGUUUAUGUUCCCUAUACAUGAAUGUUCAUAAGCAAGACAGGUGCACACGUAUAAACACUCAAGAGGUGCACCACUGAAGGACGCAAGGCAUGCCGCUCCCAAACCUGGCUUUGUGUAUUACCUAGAUGGAUUAGUGUGCGCGGGCAGUAGAGAAGCUCGGCUCCGUCCUCAGGAGAGGCAAAGGUCGCUCAGCUUGCUCAUGAAUAUACUUAAGAUGGAGGCCUGCUCGUGGAUGCUCCACUGGUUUACUGCAGUUUCAAGGGCUUAGGGAGCGCCUCCUUGUUGACAACCUCUUCCUUGCCAAGCUUGUCAUGGAGUGCGUCGUCGAGCCAUCAGCAAUGUCUGUUUUAUUUUGAGAAGCCGUCAUUCACCGGAUUUAGAUAGAUCAUCCGCGACUGCCACUGCCGCCUGUCGGAGCUGUUAACUCAGCUUUACCCUAUUUUGAACUGCGGCUCCACUUUUGGACAGAAUGUACGAUUAUGUAUGCCAGUAUCAAAAACUGUGUCCCCUUCAUUUUGAAGCAGCUAACAUACAUCUAAAUGCAUAGUUUAACCAGCUAUA